AGCGUGGAGACAGGUGGUGCAUGGCUGUCGUCAGCUCGUGUCGUGAGAUGUUGGGUUAAGUCCCGCAACGAGCGCAACCCUCACCCCUUGUUGCCAUCAGGUCAUGCUGGGCACUCUAGGGGAACUGCCCCGGUCAACGGGGAGGAAGGCGGGGAUGACGUCAAGUCAUCAUGCCCCUUACGCCCUGGGCUACACACGUGCUACAAUGGCCGGUACAAAGGGAUGCAACGCCGUGAGGCAGAGCCAAACCCAAAAAGCCGGUCUAAGUUCAGAUUGGAGUCUGCAACUCGACUCCAUGAAGGAGGAAUCGCUAGUAAUCGCGUAUCAGCGCGACGCGGUGAAUACGUUCCCGGGCCUUGUACACACCGCCCGUCACACCACGAAAGCCUGCUGUACUCGAAGUCGCUGAG
RNAcentral lists this ribosomal RNA (410 nucleotides) under uncultured Methylomirabilota bacterium. RNAcentral describes it as "bacterial SSU rRNA". It matches the Rfam family "Bacterial small subunit ribosomal RNA", at positions 1025 to 1434 of the family's 1533-position model. The record is from RNAcentral. Lineage: Bacteria; Methylomirabilota (SeqCode).